UACGUAGGGUGCGAGCGUUGUCCGGAAUUACUGGGCGUAAAGAGCUCGUAGGUGGUUUGUCGCGUUGUUCGUGAAAACCGGGGGCUUAACCCUCGGCGUGCGGGCGAUACGGGCAGACUGGAGUACUGCAGGGGAGACUGGAAUUCCUGGUGUAGCGGUGGAAUGCGCAGAUAUCAGGAGGAACACCGGUGGCGAAGGCGGUUCUCUGGGCCUGUACUGACGCUGAGGAGCGAAAGCGUGGGGAGCAAACGGG
RNAcentral lists this ribosomal RNA (253 nucleotides) under uncultured bacterium. RNAcentral's name for it is "partial 16S ribosomal RNA". It matches the Rfam family "Bacterial small subunit ribosomal RNA", at positions 524 to 776 of the family's 1533-position model. The record is from RNAcentral.